UACGUAGGUGGCAAGCGUUAUCCGGAUUUACUGGGUGUGAAGGGAGCGUAGACGGUUGUACAAGUCUGAUGUGAAAGCCCACGGCUCAACUGUGGGAGUGCAUUGGAAACUGUAGAACUAGAGUAUCGGAGAGGCAAGUGGAAUUCCUAGUGUAGCGGUGAAAUGCGUAGAUAUUAGGAGGAACACCAGUGGCGAAGGCGGCUUGCUGGACGAAAACUGACGUUGAGGCUCGAAAGCGUGGGGAGCAAACAGG
RNAcentral lists this ribosomal RNA (253 nucleotides) under uncultured bacterium. Its description in RNAcentral is "partial 16S ribosomal RNA". It matches the Rfam family "Bacterial small subunit ribosomal RNA", at positions 524 to 776 of the family's 1533-position model. The record is from RNAcentral.